AGAGAGAGACAUGCGCGCAUAUCAAUAAGCGGAGGAAAAGAAACUAACUAGGAUUCCCUUAGUAACGGCGAGUGAAGCGGGAAGAGCUCAAAUUUGAAAUCUUCAAGGUUCUACCUUGACGAAUUGUAGUUUAUAAGAAGUGUUUUCUGUUAGGUGUAGUGGCUAAAAGUUCUUUGGAAUAGGACAUCAUAGAGGGUGAGAAUCCCGUAUUUGGUCAUUCCUCCUAGCGUUGUGAUACACUUUCAACGAGUCGGAUUGUUUGGGAAUGCAGUCCAAAAUGGGUGGUAAAUUUCAUCUAAAGCUAAAUAUUGGCGAGAGACCGAUAGCGAACAAGUACCGUGAGGGAAAGAUGAAAAGAACUUUGAAAAGAGAGUUAAACAGUACGCUGAAAUUGUCAAAAGGGAAGCGUUUGACACCAGUGUUGUUUUUCCGAAAAUCAAUUACGAAUGUUUUAUUUUUGAGAAGUUAUGACUUCAUCGGCUUGCUUCUUUCUUUACGAAACUUUCUUAAUGCACUUUUCGGUUAACAAGUCAACAUCAAUUUCUUUUGUUGUAAAAGGGUACUGAGGAAGGUGGCUUUCUUUAUCGGAGAAAGUGUUUAUAGCCUUGUGCCUCUGCAAUCGGAGAGAUUGAGGUCUGCAGCGUAGAUCCUUCGGGGUUAGAUACAUUUGUGCUAAGUUAUAGCUUUUCAUAGACAACUUGUUGACUAUGUUUAGUCUUGUAGCUUACUCGCUUAUGCUAUUUUACCUACGCUUAGGAUGUUGAUAGUCACAGCGUGUAC
RNAcentral lists this ribosomal RNA (780 nucleotides) under uncultured Neocallimastigales. RNAcentral's name for it is "partial large subunit ribosomal RNA". It matches the Rfam family "Eukaryotic large subunit ribosomal RNA", at positions 23 to 644 of the family's 3401-position model. Lineage: Eukaryota; Fungi; Neocallimastigomycota; Neocallimastigomycetes; Neocallimastigales. The record is from RNAcentral.